This 713-nucleotide long non-coding RNA is filed under the name Equus caballus (horse). RNAcentral describes it as "lncRNA (ENSECAG00000054589.1)". Lineage: Eukaryota; Metazoa; Chordata; Mammalia; Perissodactyla; Equidae. The record is from RNAcentral.
GGUUCUAGAGGAAGGAAGUUAAAGACAGCAAUCAUUUUACAGAAAAAUCGUCCCAGCGGUGGAAAUCCGAGGUAGGAAGGGACACCUCUGCUCCUGGUACCUCUGGACACUCCAGAUGUCCACUCUAUGAGGUGACAUAUCUGUGUGAAAGUAGCCCAUGAGAGAGUGCCAAGGCCAUGGGACAGAGGCCCCAGCAUGUGAGCUCAAACGAGGCAGCAUGGGUCUGAAAGGGUCCUUCUUGAGAUGUGAAAUCUUGGAGCCACAGCCUGAAGGAGCUCGCCUGGUUGAAUAAAGAAAUCACUCAACAAAGGACGCUCCUUCUCCAGCCUGAAGAGGCGCUGACGCCACCUACAGCCUGGAGACCGGCUCUGCAACCAGCACCUGCCAGCCAGUCUGGUGCUGGGGGGAAGAGAUUAGAAUUUAUAUGGGGCAUGGAGAACGGGCAGUCAACUCUCAAGGUGAAUACUUUCCCUGAUAAAUUGUAAACCAUUAAAAACAUGUUUAAAAAUUAUUUUGACUAAUGAGUUUUUGAAGAUUGUAGCAGUUGGAUUAAAAUUUGUGAACUACAUUUCUUAUAUAAAUAUAUUUUUUCUAGUGAGCACCUUCUAGGAUAUGGUCACAUCUUGUGUGUGUGUGUGUGUGUGUGUGUGUAGCAACCUCAAACAUUCAACCCAAAUCCAGAUUAGGUUAGUGGGUACAUGCUUAUCCACAUA